GCGCGGGUUCUAGUUAGUACUACUACCGGUGGUAAAGCCACAUGGUCACAAGAGUGGUCAACUGACACUACUACUGUUAAUGGUCUACUCGAGUUCUCUCGCACCUUUCAUGGCUGCAUAUCACAGUAAUUAAAGUUGCCCCGCCAAGAUACAGGCAACUGUACUGCAAUGCUCGAUUUCAGUUGGCUCAGCAAACAUUAUCAUCA
Molecule: long non-coding RNA, 206 nt
Filed under: Nicotiana benthamiana
Lineage: Eukaryota; Viridiplantae; Streptophyta; Magnoliopsida; Solanales; Solanaceae
Description: long non-coding RNA (NBEN_LNC029595)
Source: RNAcentral